Molecule: unclassified non-coding RNA, 253 nt
Filed under: uncultured Nitrospira sp.
Lineage: Bacteria; Pseudomonadati; Nitrospirota; Nitrospiria; Nitrospirales; Nitrospiraceae
Description: contains 16S-23S intergenic spacer region
Rfam family: Bacterial small subunit ribosomal RNA
Source: RNAcentral
GACAGAGGUGGCAAGCGUUGUUCGGAUUUACUGGGCGUAAAGGGUGCGUAGGCGGUCAGGUCAGACCUGUGUGAAAGCCCGAGGCUCAACCUCGGAACGUCGCGGGUGACUGCCUGGCUAGAGGACGGGAGAGGAGCGCGGAAUUCCCGGUGUAGCGGUGAAAUGCGUAGAGAUCGGGAGGAAGGCCGGUGGCGAAGGCGGCGUUCUGGAACGUUCCUGACGCUGAGGCACGAAAGCGUGGGGAGCAAACAGG